GAGUAAUGUCUGGGAAACUGCCUGAUGGAGGGGGAUAACUACUGGAAACGGUGGCUAAUACCGCAUAACGUCGCAAGACCAAAGAGGGGGACCUUCGGGCCUCUUGCCAUCAGAUGUGCCCAGAUGGGAUUAGCUUGUUGGUGAGGUAACGGCUCACCAAGGCGACGAUCCCUAGCUGGUCUGAGAGGAUGACCAGCCACACUGGAACUGAGACACGGUCCAGACUCCUACGGGAGGCAGCAGUGGGGAAUAUUGCACAAUGGGCGCAAGCCUGAUGCAGCCAUGCCGCGUGUAUGAAGAAGGCCUUCGGGUUGUAAAGUACUUUCAGCGGGGAGGAAGGUGUUGUGGUUAAUAACCGCAGCAAUUGACGUUACCCGCAGAAGAAGCACCGGCUAACUCCGUGCCAGCAGCCGCGGUAAUACGGAGGGUGCAAGCGUUAAUCGGAAUUACUGGGCGUAAAGCGCACGCAGGCGGUCUGUCAAGUCGGAUGUGAAAUCCCCGGGCUCAACCUGGGAACUGCAUUCGAAACUGGCAGGCUUGAGUCUUGUAGAGGGGGGUAGAAUUCCAGGUGUAGCGGUGAAAUGCGUAGAGAUCUGGAGGAAUACCGGUGGCGAAGGCGGCCCCCUGGACAAAGACUGACGCUCAGGUGCGAAAGCGUGGGGAGCAAACAGGAUUAGAUACCCUGGUAGUCCACGCCGUAAACGAUGUCUACUUGGAGGUUGUGCCCUUGAGGCGUGGCUUCCGGAGCUAACGCGUUAAGUAGACCGCCUGGGGAGUACGGCCGCAAGGUUAAAACUCAAAUGAAUUGACGGGGGCCCGCACAAGCGGUGGAGCAUGUGGUUUAAUUCGAUGCAACGCGAAGAACCUUACCUGGUCUUGACAUCCACAGAACAUUCCAGAGAUGGAUUGGUGCCUUCGGGAACUGUGAGACAGGUGCUGCAUGGCUGUCGUCAGCUCGUGUUGUGAAAUGUUGGGUUAAGUCCCGCAACGAGCGCAACCCUUAUCCUUUGUUGCCAGCGGUCCGG
RNAcentral lists this ribosomal RNA (1025 nucleotides) under Salmonella enterica. RNAcentral's name for it is "bacterial SSU rRNA". It matches the Rfam family "Bacterial small subunit ribosomal RNA", at positions 108 to 1134 of the family's 1533-position model. Lineage: Bacteria; Pseudomonadati; Pseudomonadota; Gammaproteobacteria; Enterobacterales; Enterobacteriaceae. The record is from RNAcentral.